Molecule: ribosomal RNA, 468 nt
Filed under: uncultured bacterium
Lineage: Bacteria
Description: partial 16S ribosomal RNA
Rfam family: Bacterial small subunit ribosomal RNA
Source: RNAcentral
GACGAACGCUGGCGGCAUGCUUAACACAUGCAAGUCGAACGGAAAGGCCCUGCUUUUGUGGGGUGCUCGAGUGGCGAACGGGUGAGUAACAAGUGAGUAACCUGCCCUUGACUUUGGGAUAACUUCAGGAAACUGGGGCUAAUACCGGAUAGGAGCUCCUGCUGCAUGGUGGGGGUUGGAAAGUUUCGGCGGUUGGGGAUGGACUCGCGGCUUAUCAGCUUGUUGGUGGGGUAGUGGCUUACCAAGGCUUUGACGGGUAGCCGGCCUGAGAGGGUGACCGGCCACAUUGGGACUGAGAUACGGCCCAGACUCCUACGGGAGGCAGCAGUGGGGAAUAUUGCACAAUGGGCGGAAGCCUGAUGCAGCAACGCCGCGUGCGGGAUGACGGCCUUCGGGUUGUAAACCGCUUUCGCCUGUGACGAAGCGUGAGUGACGGUAAUGGGUAAAGAAGCACCGGCUAACUACGUG